Molecule: ribosomal RNA, 293 nt
Filed under: uncultured microorganism
Description: partial 16S ribosomal RNA
Rfam family: Bacterial small subunit ribosomal RNA
Source: RNAcentral
GUGCCAGCAGCCGCGGUAAUACGUAGGGCGCAAGCGUUGUCCUGGAAUUAUUGGGCGUAAAGAGCUUGUAGGUGGCUUGUCGCGUCUGCCGUGAAAACCCGAGGCUCAACCUCGGGCGUGCGGUGGGUACGGGCAGGCUAGAGUGUGGUAGGGGAGACUGGAACUCCUGGUGUAGCGGUGAAAUGCGCAGAUAUCAGGAAGAACACCGAUGGCGAAGGCAGGUCUCUGGGCCAUUACUGACACUGAGAAGCGAAAGCAUGGGUAGCGAACAGGAUUAGAUACCCUGGUAGUCC